GAGUUUGAUCCUGGCUCAGAGCGAACGCUGGCGGCGUGCUUAACACGUGCAAGUCGAACGCUGAACUCCCUGUAGCAAUACAGGGAGCUAGGCGUGGCGAACGGGUGAGUAACGCGUGGACAACCUGCCCGCGAGUGGGGGAUAACUCCGGGAAACUGGAGCUAAUACCGCAUAACGUCCCGAGGUCGUCGGAUCUUGGGAUCAAACCCGCAAGGGGCUCACGGAGGGGUCCGCGUCCGAUCAGCUAGUUGGUGAGGUAAUGGCUCACCAAGGCGGAGACCGGUAGCCGAUCUGAGAGGAUGGUCGGCCACACUGGGACUGAGACACGGCCUAGACUCCUACGGGAGGCAGCAGUGGGGAAUAUUGCGCAAUGGGCGAAAGCCUGACGCAGCAACGCCGCGUGAGUGAUGAAGGCUUUCGGGUCGUAAAGCUCUGUCAAGGGGAAAGAAGUGUAUUGCAGCUAAUAUCUGCGAUACUUGACGGUACCCCUAAAGGAAGCMCCGRMWARCUCCGUGCCAGCAGCCGCGGUAAUACAAGGGCGMUUWCA
This 547-nucleotide ribosomal RNA is filed under the name uncultured Geobacteraceae bacterium. RNAcentral describes it as "bacterial SSU rRNA". It matches the Rfam family "Bacterial small subunit ribosomal RNA", at positions 9 to 537 of the family's 1533-position model. The record is from RNAcentral. Lineage: Bacteria; Pseudomonadati; Thermodesulfobacteriota; Desulfuromonadia; Geobacterales; Geobacteraceae.